This 71-nucleotide transfer RNA is filed under the name Cyrtodactylus thirakhupti (Thirakhupts bent toed gecko). RNAcentral's name for it is "tRNA Glu". The record is from RNAcentral. Lineage: Eukaryota; Metazoa; Chordata; Lepidosauria; Squamata; Gekkonidae.
GUUUCUGUGGUUGAAUGACAACGGGGGUUUUUCAGAUCUCAGGUCUUGGUGGUGUAGGCCAAGCAGAAAUA